UGAGGUAGAGGUUGCGUUUAUCAACAGUAACUUUGCGGAGGCCGGAAGCCUUUGAAACAAAGCGAAAGGGAUCGACGCCGAAAUUGCAGGCACCAAAGUCUGCGGUUGGGGUCGCACUCAAUAAGUGCGGAACUGUCAACGGGGUAAACAAUACCGUACUCCGUUGGAGCGCUAUCA
RNAcentral lists this non-coding RNA (177 nucleotides) under pig gut metagenome. RNAcentral's name for it is "Lysine riboswitch". It matches the Rfam family "Lysine riboswitch aptamer". Rfam says of the family: Riboswitches are metabolite binding domains within certain messenger RNAs that serve as precision sensors for their corresponding targets. Allosteric rearrangement of mRNA structure is mediated by ligand binding, and this results in modulation of gene expression. The record is from RNAcentral.